GUCAAGGAUUCCCUUAGUAACUGCGAGUGAAGAGGGAAAAGCUCAAAUUUAAAAUCUGGCAGUCAUUGGCUGUCCGAGUUGUAAUCUAGAGAAGUGUUACCCGUGCUGGACCAUGUACAAGUCUCCUGGAAUGGAGCAUCACAGAGGGUGAGAAUCCCGUCUUUGACAUGGACUACCAGUGCUUUUGUGGUACGCUCUCAAAGAGUCGAGUUGUUUGGGAAUGCAGCUCAAAAUGGGUGGUAAAUGCCAUCUAAAGCUAAAUAUUGGCGAGAGACCGAUAGCGAACAAGUACCGUGAGGGAAAGAUGAAAAGAACUUUGGAAAGAGAGUUAAACAGUACGUGAAAUUGCUGAAAGGGAAACGCUUGAAGUCAGUCGCAUUGACUUGGAAUCAACCCUGCUUUUGCUGGGUGUAUUUUCUUGUCAAUGGGUCAGCAUCAAUUUUGACCGUUGGAUAAAGUUAUUGGGAAUGUGACAUCCUUGGAUGUGUUAUAGCCUGAUGAUGCAUACAGCGGUUGGGAUUGAGGAAUUCAGCAUGCCGCAAGGCCGGGUUUUUUGACCACGUUCAUGCUUAGGAUGCUGGCAUAA
This 586-nucleotide ribosomal RNA is filed under the name Pseudosperma perlatum. RNAcentral's name for it is "eukaryotic LSU rRNA". It matches the Rfam family "Eukaryotic large subunit ribosomal RNA", at positions 67 to 634 of the family's 3401-position model. Lineage: Eukaryota; Fungi; Basidiomycota; Agaricomycetes; Agaricales; Inocybaceae. The record is from RNAcentral.